UGUUCAACUUUUUUAAUUUAAAAAAAAAAUUCUAAAACAGUCUUUCAAGAUGGUUUUUUUGAAAAAUCAUCUUAAAAUGAUAGUUUUCUUAAGACGGUUUUUUAAGAACCAUUGUAGAAAGUCUUGACUUUCCAUGAUGUUGGCUUCUAAAACAGUUCAAAACCGUCUUUGAAUAGGUCGCAAAAUCGUCGUGGAAAACACUUUUUCCAGUAGUGGCAGUUAAAGCCAAUCUUGCAUCUUCACUAAGCUUGGGAAACUGCCAAACAUGAAUAAAGACAUUAUGAUGCUUAUCAGGAGGACAAAACAAAUCACAAAAAUAUUGAUGGACCACUAUCCUUAAGAGAUUACCAUCCUUACACCAAAUACCAUUAUUCAACAAAAUCUUAUGAAUGGUAUUUCUCCUUCGCCUAACAAUCGUCUAGGUAUGGAAGAAUUUAGUAUUCUAGUCACUAGAUCUAAUCCAAUUCUCUCCUGAUUUUUGGAACCAAAUAAUUCCUUAUGCUUCAGAAUCUCCAUGUAUUCAGAUUGAAGCUCCACUUCUAGAGCCAACAAACAAGCAUCAAGAUUGACCUCCAUGUUUCUCUAAAUCCCAUGCUACCCGACUUCCACUCUUCUCUUCCUAUUCCUAAUAACAUUUUUAUUAAAAUGUUUGGAUUUUCCCCUUACCUCAUUAAGCUUCAUGACAAGUCCAUGCAAAAAGGAAACACCAAGUGUAACAUCCCAAUUUUUCAUGUGUUUGUGGUAGACAGUGUUAUUUCUUUGUUAUGCGAUUGGGUGGUGUUUUUAGACUAUUCAAAUGGUUAAGAAAUGAGAUGUUAUCAUAGGAUUCCUAGGCAUGGUUAAACUCUUAAGUUUCUAUGCUAAAGUCUAGAAAGAAUAAGGAUAAUAAGAGAAAAUUCUCUAGCUAAAUAAUGGUCAACUUAUUAAUGACCUAGAUGUUAAUAAGUGGAUUUUGGUCUAGAAAUAGAAAUUAGAAGCUUGAAAUAAAAUUAGUAAUUAAUGUUAGCAAAGUUAGAAAUUAAGUGGGAAUAAUGAAGGUUGAUUAAUGGUGAUUUAGAUUCCAUAGAAUUAGAAAAGGGGUAAUUAAGUCAUAAGAGUUUAAAGUGGAGGGCAUUUUCGUAAAUGACUAUAUAACUAGUUUAAAAAUAGAAUUUUAGGUUAAUUAGUUGUUGAAUAAUUAAAGUGUCUAAUUAUAUGAUGUAGAAUAAUUAAAAUAAGUUAGAGUUGGAAUACCCUGAUUACUACUCUGACUAAUAGAGAAAACUUUUAGCAAAAAUAGUUUUUAUCAUUUUUGGCAAAACUCUACUUUAUCCUUUUAUAGUUAGUUAGUUUUGGAAAAGUGCAAGAAGCCAUAUAAGGCAUGGUUGAGCUCGUGGAGAGAACCUCAAGGGAUAUUCAAGCUACCAAUUUGUCAUAUUAAUGGUCAUUCAAAAUGCUUAAAUUAAGAAGAUAACAAUUAGGCCUUGCAAUCCCAUUAGUCCAAGCAUUUCACUUACAAUAAAUGUUGUUUUUAAAAGCCAAAGUCUAGGCCAGUUCUCCCAUUUUACUAAAGCUUUGAGAGAAAGAGAAGACCAUAUUUUUCUUCUUCUUACAAUUUUUACCAAGUGUUCUUGUGCCCUUCUUCCAUCAAACUUAGGUAAGUGACCUCCAUUUUCAACUCUAUGCUUGAUUUUCACUUCAUUUUCUAGCUCUAUUCUCACUUGUAGUUUCAAAACCUUAUUUUGCACGCUUGAAGGUUGUAAACUUGAAUCUAAAC
RNAcentral lists this long non-coding RNA (1756 nucleotides) under Glycine max (soybean). RNAcentral's name for it is "long non-coding RNA (GMAX_LNC003207)". The record is from RNAcentral. Lineage: Eukaryota; Viridiplantae; Streptophyta; Magnoliopsida; Fabales; Fabaceae.